RNAcentral lists this long non-coding RNA (200 nucleotides) under Physcomitrium patens. RNAcentral's name for it is "long non-coding RNA (PPAT_LNC010847)". The record is from RNAcentral. Lineage: Eukaryota; Viridiplantae; Streptophyta; Bryopsida; Funariales; Funariaceae.
GAAGUGUACAAAAUUUGAAUCAAUAUUAGCAAUUUGAUUAUUAGUUAUUGAGGUUCUAUUUUAUUAUAAGAUUUGUUAAGAGUUUAUUUAAGAUUUAGGAUUUGAUUAGGAUUUGCUUAAGAUUUAGCUUAGAACUUAUUUAUGAUUUUAUUAGGAUUUCAUUAGGAUUUGAUGUAGAAUUUGGUUAAGAUUCAAUUAAA